AAGUCGUAACAAGGUUUCCGUAGGUGAACCUGCGGAAGGAUCAUUAACACGUAGUACCUUUUGUCCUCUACCCGUACCGCUUGUCGCCACGAUUUGGAUCUUGAUGCACCCGUUUUCUUACAACCACCGCUGGAAAACUAUGUCUUCCCGCAAAAGUUACCGCUCGGGGGGCCUGAGAACCUUCCAGAGCUGGAAUACCCGAACAACUGUUAACAAUGGAUAUCUUGGCUCUC
This 233-nucleotide unclassified non-coding RNA is filed under the name fungal sp. RNAcentral's name for it is "partial internal transcribed spacer region". The stretch from base 1 to 46 matches the Rfam family "Eukaryotic small subunit ribosomal RNA", at positions 1786 to 1831 of the family's 1831-position model. Lineage: Eukaryota; Fungi. The record is from RNAcentral.